This is a long non-coding RNA of Diceros bicornis minor, 286 nucleotides long. RefSeq lists it as uncharacterized. The transcript is spliced from 3 exons. NCBI's taxonomy places the organism in Eukaryota, Metazoa, Chordata, Mammalia, Perissodactyla, Rhinocerotidae. The record is from RefSeq and is a predicted model, not a curated record.
ACAGGGACCACACGUGGAGAACAGGCUUCAGUGACACCAUGAAGCUGAUGUGAGACAAGGCUCACAUGAGAAAGCUCAAGGGGAAUCAGAGGCAGAACUCACUGCAUUUUCCAGCAAUCCAGGGGCUGUCUGCACAUCAGGAGUGGGGUCAGCAGGACAACUCUGCAGCCAUGGAGGAACCUGCAUCGGCCUAUUUUCCAAGCCAGCCUGUUCUGGGAAAGCUCAAAAGAAAUAUGAUUCCCCAGACUGCAGAGAAGAAAAGACAGGUCCAUUUAGCCAAGACCAA